This 504-nucleotide ribosomal RNA is filed under the name uncultured bacterium. Its description in RNAcentral is "partial 16S ribosomal RNA". It matches the Rfam family "Bacterial small subunit ribosomal RNA", at positions 30 to 523 of the family's 1533-position model. The record is from RNAcentral.
AUUGAACGCUGGCGGCAGGCUUAACACAUGCAAGUCGAGCGGUAGCACAGAGAGCUUGCUCUCGGGUGACGAGUGGCGGACGGGUGAGUAAUGUCUGGGAAACUGCCCGAUGGAGGGGGAUAACUACUGGAAACGGUAGCUAAUACCGCAUAACGUCGCAAGACCAAAGUGGGGGACCUUCGGGCCUCACACCAUCGGAUGUGCCCAGAUGGGAUUAGCUAGUAGGUGGGGUAAUGGCUCACCUAGGCGACGAUCCCUAGCUGGUCUGAGAGGAUGACCAGCCACACUGGAACUGAGACACGGGCCAGACUCCUACGGGAGGCAGCAGUGGGGAAUAUUGCACAAUGGGCGCAAGCCUGAUGCAGCCAUGCCGCGUGUAUGAAGAAGGCCUUCGGGUUGUAAAGUACUUUCAGCGGGGAGGAAGGCGGUGAAGUUAAUAACUUCACCGAUUGAUGUUACCCGCAGAAGAAGCACCGGCUAACUCCGUGCCAGCAGCCGCGGUAA